AGGAAGCCCCGGCCAACUACGUGCCAGCAGCCGCGGUAAUACGUAGGGGGCGAGCGUUGUCCGGAAUCAUUGGGCGUAAAGAGCACGUAGGCGGCCUGUCAAGUCGGAUGUGAAAGCCCGUGGCUUAACUGCGGAAAUGCAUUCGAAACUGGCAGGCUAGAGUCCAGUAGAGGAAAGUGGAAUUCCCAGUGUAGCGGUGAAAUGCGCAGAUAUUGGGAAGAACACCGGUGGCGAAGGCGGCUUUCUGGGCUGUGACUGACGCUGAGGUGCGAAAGCUAGGGGAGCAAACAGGAUUAGAUACCCUGGUAGUCCUAGCCGUAAACGAUGGGCACUAGGUGUGGGG
RNAcentral lists this ribosomal RNA (343 nucleotides) under uncultured bacterium. Its description in RNAcentral is "bacterial SSU rRNA". It matches the Rfam family "Bacterial small subunit ribosomal RNA", at positions 485 to 827 of the family's 1533-position model. The record is from RNAcentral.